RNAcentral lists this ribosomal RNA (380 nucleotides) under uncultured eukaryote. RNAcentral's name for it is "partial 18S ribosomal RNA". It matches the Rfam family "Eukaryotic small subunit ribosomal RNA", at positions 592 to 976 of the family's 1831-position model. The record is from RNAcentral.
CAAUAGCGUAUAUUAAAGUUGUUGCGGUUAAAAAGCUCGUAGUUGGAUUUCUGCUGAGAGCGGGCGGUCUACCUUAUGGGUAAGUAUCUGCAUCGGUCUUGGCAUCCUCUCGAAAAACGUUUUUGCGCUUGAUUGCGUGAUACGGGGUUCGAGACUUUUACUUUGAGGAAAUUAGAGUGUUCACGGCAGGCAUACGCCUUGAAUAUAUUAGCAUGGAAUAAUACUAUAGGAUUUCGGUUCUAUUUUGUUGGUUUCUAGAGCUGAAAUAAUGAUUAAUAGGGACAAUUGGGGGCAUUCGUAUUGACGAGUCAGAGGUGAAAUUCUUGGAUUUCGUCACGACGAACUACUGCGAAAGCAUUUGCCAAGGAUGUUUUCAUUGA